RNAcentral lists this ribosomal RNA (150 nucleotides) under uncultured Pseudomonas sp. RNAcentral describes it as "partial 16S ribosomal RNA". It matches the Rfam family "Bacterial small subunit ribosomal RNA", at positions 384 to 528 of the family's 1533-position model. The record is from RNAcentral. Lineage: Bacteria; Pseudomonadati; Pseudomonadota; Gammaproteobacteria; Pseudomonadales; Pseudomonadaceae.
UGAUCAGCCAGCCGCGUGUGUGAAGAAGGUCUUCGGAUUGUAAAGCACUUUAAGUUGGGAGGAAGGGUUGUAGAUUAAUACUCUGCGAUUUUGACGUUACCGACAGAAUAAGCACCGGCUAACUCUGUGCCAGCAGCCGCGGUAAUACGA